Molecule: ribosomal RNA, 795 nt
Filed under: Oceanobacillus sp. NCCP-957
Lineage: Bacteria; Bacillati; Bacillota; Bacilli; Caryophanales; Bacillaceae
Description: bacterial SSU rRNA
Rfam family: Bacterial small subunit ribosomal RNA
Source: RNAcentral
UGCAGUCGAGCGCAGGAACAAGUUGAUCCCCUUCGGGGGUGACGCUUGUGGAAUGAGCGGCGGACGGGUGAGUAACACGUGGGCAACCUGCCUGUAAGACUGGGAUAACCCCGGGAAACCGGGGCUAAUACCGGAUAAUACUUUCUUUUGCAUAAAGGAAAGUUGAAAGGCGGCUUCGGCUGUCACUUACAGAUGGGCCCGCGGCGCAUUAGCUAGUUGGUGAGGUAACGGCUCACCAAGGCGACGAUGCGUAGCCGACCUGAGAGGGUGAUCGGCCACACUGGGACUGAGACACGGCCCAGACUCCUACGGGAGGCAGCAGUAGGGAAUCUUCCGCAAUGGACGAAAGUCUGACGGAGCAACGCCGCGUGAGUGAUGAAGGUUUUCGGAUCGUAAAACUCUGUUGUUAGGGAAGAACAAGUUGGGUAGUAACUGACCCAACCUUGACGGUACCUAACCAGAAAGCCACGGCUAACUACGUGCCAGCAGCCGCGGUAAUACGUAGGUGGCAAGCGUUGUCCGGAAUUAUUGGGCGUAAAGCGCUCGCAGGCGGUCCUUUAAGUCUGAUGUGAAAUCUCGCGGCUCAACCGCGAACGGUCAUUGGAAACUGGAGGACUUGAGUACAGAAGAGGAGAGUGGAAUUCCACGUGUAGCGGUGAAAUGCGUAGAGAUGUGGAGGAACACCAGUGGCGAAGGCGACUCUCUGGUCUGUAACUGACGCUGAGGAGCGAAAGCGUGGGGAGCGAACAGGAUUAGAUACCCUGGUAGUCCACGCCGUAAACGAUGAGUGCUAGG